UUUACGGAGAGUUUGAUCCUGGCUCAGGACGAACGCUGGCGGCGUGCCUAACACAUGCAAGUCGAACGGGGUUUCAGGGAUAGCUUGCUAUUCCUGCGACCUAGUGGCGCACGGGUGAGUAACACGUGGGUAAUCUGCCCGGAAGACCGGGAUAACAGCCCGAAAGGGCUGCUAAUACCGGAUACGCCCGGCCUGCCGCAUGACAGGUUGGGGAAAGAGUUAUCGCUUUCGGAUGAGCCCGCGUCCCAUUAGCUAGUUGGUGAGGUAACGGCUCACCAAG
RNAcentral lists this ribosomal RNA (280 nucleotides) under Bacillota bacterium. RNAcentral's name for it is "Firmicutes bacterium (anaerobic digester metagenome) partial 16S ribosomal RNA". It matches the Rfam family "Bacterial small subunit ribosomal RNA", at positions 1 to 272 of the family's 1533-position model. The record is from RNAcentral. Lineage: Bacteria; Bacillati; Bacillota.